CCCGCCCCUCACCCUCCGUGAUUGUAGCUCCGAGGGCCAACCCCGCUGGUUAACCCGGUGAUCGGGAGCUACCUGCCCGCUGCGCCUUUGUCCUUCGUGCACACAGUGCUGGCAAAGACUGUCUAGAAAAUACCCAGGGGUGGGAGUCGGGAGGAGAGAGAUGCUUAAGGAUAUGACGGGCACUGUUAAGCGUUUCUUCAUGCUCUGCAUCUGGAGAUUUUCAUUAGAGGAAAAGUAUAUGCGAGACCUUUAUUCAAGCCAUUGGGGAUACAGUGUUUAAGAAGACUGUUUCCUUACUCACAAAGCUUCCAUGUCUAGACACGUGGAAAAAUCUCCAAAAUGUAUUUUAAAGAGAAAAAGGCAAAAGUGGUGGAGAAACAGAGAAUCACUUGGAGAGCUUGACUUGGAGUUUGAGGAAUAGAGGAGCUGGUACCCGACUCAUCCUGAAAAAGUCAAAAGGCAUUAUAAACUGGAUCGGGCUCAAGCCAAAGAAGAACUGACUCACAAAACUUAAAUGGGAGGGUAAGCUUUGCUUUGUACUAUCUGACAAUGAGACUAUUUUUUAAUACUGUAACUGAAAAUGAAUGUGAAACAUGGGGCCCACCCAAAAUCUCAUCCUGGGCACAGAAAAGAAUUGUGAACAACGCAGGUUUAAUGAGUCAGUGAUAAGAUAGAACAGAAUUGUGUUAAUUCAGUAAACUGGCUUCUUAGAUAUUGAGCCCCUUUCCAGUAUUUCCUCCUCAGGUUAAUCUUAUGUGGAACACGGAAAAAGAACUGCUUUCUUACUCACUACCAGAGUGUCUCUGACCUUUGACUCUGAUUUAGGAGACAUUGUUCAAUGGUUAUUGUCCUAUGAAAUCAUGCAGAAUUGUAUUAUGUUCCUUUGUGUGAACUGCAAACAGAACCUUUCCAACUGUUGGGUGGAGUAGAUUAUCACUGACAACAUGAAAUUUUUUCAGUAAUGCCACUCAGAUUCUGCCCCUCCCAUGGGAGACAACUGCAAUUUGUUUGGAUAUAUAUAUAUAUAUAUAUAUUUAAAGAAAUUUUUUAAUGUUUAUUUAUUACCGAGAAACAGAGUGAGACAGAGUAUGAGCAUGGGAGGGGCAGAGAGAGGGGGAGACACAGACUCUGAAGCAGGCUCCAGGCUCUGAGCUGUCAGCACUGAGCCCGAUGUGGGGCCAGAAUUCACAAACUGUGAGAUCACGACCUGAGCAGAAGUUGGACCCUUAACCAACUGAGCCACCCAGGUGCCCCACAAUUUGUUUGGAUAUUGAUUCUGCUCUGGCUGCUGCGCUCUGGCGUAGAGUGCCUGUCCAUUUCUUCAUCCCACUUGGAGUGCUGUAUAUUUCAGUUAGGGAUGAUAUGGGCAUCCCUCAGUGGCCUAAUUCUUUUUCUCUUUCAACUCAGUCCCAUUCUGUGUCUCUUCUUGCCUCCCUCUCUCCUGCUCUUCCUUCUACACUGGUCCCAAGGUGAACUAGCUUCUAAUUUUUUUUUGAUUUGCCUUCUCUUUCCAGCACUUUCUCUUUAGAUCCUGCAGGAAAUACAGUGUUUCUGAUUGUAGAUAGGAUGAUCAUCCAUAGGUAGGAUUUGCCUCUGGCUUCUAGUUUCAUUAGUAUCAAGCUUCACUCAGUUCUAGUCCAUCAGCCCUAGACCUCCCUCUCCGAUCUCCAAGGAAGGAUGCCUGACAUUUAGCUUGGGAUAUAGGGAUAUAGAAGCAGAGUUGGCUGGGGAGGAAAAUCCCCCUCCUAUCAUCAUCUCAAAUAAGGAAGGGUUUCCCUUGAAGUGCCUCCUGACUGGCUGAGAAUAGGCCCAACACACUGACGAGUGAGAAAUCUUGGUAUAUCUAACUUUAAAAAAUGUCUUCAUUGAGAGGAGAAAAGGGACAUUAAUUGACUCAUGUGUUUAUGGAUUCAUUCCACAUGAGGUGGCUAAAAAUAUUAAAUAACUUAAAAUUAUAUAAAUCACAAAAAACAAUAAAAUUAAAUAAAUGUCUUUUAUUCUACUGAGUGAUGAUGAUGAAGAGAACAGGCUAUUUGAAAUUAUGAGGAAAAUUAUGUAUUAGGUUGAAUCACACGAAACUGCUGUUAUUCAACCAUUUUGCCCAUGUUUGACCAUUUUAACAUAAGAAAAUAUCAAUUUCGUGUGGUUCAGCCUAAUAUUAAUGUUUUAAAGACAUCUUUGAUAGUAUUUCUCUGCUGUAAAUGCUUUUCCAUUUGAAUGAUAAUGUAUGUUAGUCCCAGUUCUUCUUUUAUAUUAUUUUCAAUUACUUUACACUACCAGUAGAGUGCAUUGGGUGCCUGGUGAUAUCAAAGAAAAUUUUUAUAAUAAAAUGUAUGCAUAGAUGCAUCUGGUUAUGAUUUGCUUUUCCUUUUCUCCAAUUGCAUAAUUCGAGUUGAUGCUGCAUAAUUCUUUUUUCCUUUUAUUCCAUUCCAUAUGGUGGCAGAACAAGUACCAAAAGAUGAAUACUUUCAGUACCUUUCAUAUCAAAGCUGCAGCUUUCACAUUCUGUUCUAUUGAUACUGCAUUUUGGCAGCGGAUAAAGGAACACAGUUAAAGUCUCUGCUCAUAAUUGGUUUUAUUUGGGAAAGAUUUUCUUUGAACUAGUGACCACCCGUGAUUUUAUAAUUAUCAGAAAUUA
Molecule: long non-coding RNA, 2638 nt
Organism: Neofelis nebulosa (Clouded leopard)
Lineage: Eukaryota; Metazoa; Chordata; Mammalia; Carnivora; Felidae
Exons: 4
Source: RefSeq, a predicted model, not a curated record